This 553-nucleotide long non-coding RNA is filed under the name Cyanistes caeruleus (blue tit). RNAcentral's name for it is "lncRNA (ENSCCEG00000017467.1)". The record is from RNAcentral. Lineage: Eukaryota; Metazoa; Chordata; Aves; Passeriformes; Paridae.
GUAACCUUGAAGACAUUGGUCUUGUGGGGAAGUAAACACAUGUAUGGCACUGUUGGCCAACAUUAGCACUUUAAUUUGACACAAAGCUGUUGUGGUAGUGGAAGAAAGCAGGGCAGCAGUUGUGUGUCCAGGGAAAAAUGCCCUGGAGCCCGUGGCGUGUAGAAGACAGUGCAGAUAAACCAGAAAUUUCCAGAAUCUUCAUCUGCCUCCUGCCUCAAAGAUUAAACAUAGCACCUUGCUCCAGGGGAGGCUGGCAGAUCUCCUGGGUAGCUUCCCAGCUCCCUGGACCGGACCGAGAGUCAUAAGUUCCUAAAGACCUGAGCCUCUUUUUGGCAAUGUGUGAAGAUGAAAGUGGUCAGUGGCCCAUUGGAAGGGACCCAUGUGGCCUGCAGUAGAGACUGUCUUCUGCAGAGAUGUCAAUGAAGUUGCAAAUACCAGAUAAUGAUAAAGAGAAAUGGGGUCACAGCUCAUAUUGCCUUACAUAGAAAACAUGAAGUUAUCAAAUCAUAAUUCACAAGUGAAAACAUAUAAUUAAACUUUGUCAUUGCUCCCU